GCUCCAGUAGCGCAAUCGGCAGCGCGUGGUACUUAUAAUGCCAAGGUUGUGAGUUCGAUCCUCACCUGGAGCA
The sequence is a transfer RNA, 73 nucleotides long. It matches the Rfam family "tRNA". Rfam says of the family: Transfer RNA (tRNA) molecules are approximately 80 nucleotides in length. Their secondary structure includes four short double-helical elements and three loops (D, anti-codon, and T loops). The record is from Rfam.